AACCUUACCUACUCUUGACAUCCACGGAAUUUAGCAGAGAUGCUUUAGUGCCUUCGGGAACCGUGAGACAGGUGCUGCAUGGCUGUCGUCAGCUCGUGUUGUGAAAUGUUGGGUUAAGUCCCGCAACGAGCGCAACCCUUAUCCUUUGUUGCCAGCGGGUUAUGCCGGGAACUCAAAGGAGACUGCCAGUGAUAAACUGGAGGAAGGUGGGGAUGACGUCAAGUCAUCAUGGCCCUUACGAGUAGGGCUACACACGUGCUACAAUGGCGCAUACAAAGAGAAGCGACCUCGCGAGAGCAAGCGGACCUCAUAAAGUGCGUCGUAGUCCGGAUCGGAGUCUGCAACUCGACUCCGUGAAGUCGGAAUCGCUAGUAAUCGUAGAUCAGAAUGCUACGGUGAAUACGUUCCCGGGUCUUGUACACACCGCCU
Molecule: ribosomal RNA, 429 nt
Filed under: uncultured bacterium
Lineage: Bacteria
Description: bacterial SSU rRNA
Rfam family: Bacterial small subunit ribosomal RNA
Source: RNAcentral